This 1163-nucleotide ribosomal RNA is filed under the name uncultured bacterium. Its description in RNAcentral is "bacterial SSU rRNA". It matches the Rfam family "Bacterial small subunit ribosomal RNA", at positions 173 to 1351 of the family's 1533-position model. The record is from RNAcentral.
UGACUGGGUAUCGCAUGAUGCUUGGUGGAAAGAUUUAUCGGCCUUGGAUGGACUCGCGGCCUAUCAGCUUGUUGGUGAGGUAAUGGCUUACCAAGGCGACGACGGGUAGCCGGCCUGAGAGGGUGACCGGCCACACUGGGACUGAGAUACGGCCCAGACUCCUACGGGAGGCAGCAGUGGGGAAUAUUGCACAAUGGGCGCAAGCCUGAUGCAGCAACGCCGCGUGAGGGAUGACGGCCUUCGGGUUGUAAACCUCUUUUGGUAGGGAAGAAGCUUUCGAGUGACGGUACCUGCAGAAAAAGCACCGGCUAACUACGUGCCAGCAGCCGCGGUAAUACGUAGGGUGCAAGCGUUGUCCGGAAUUAUUGGGCGUAAAGAGCUCGUAGGCGGUUUGUCGCGUCUGCUGUGAAAUCCCGAGGCUCAACCUCGGACGUACAGUGGGUACGGGCAGGCUUGAGUGCGGUAGGGGAGAUUGGAAUUCCUGGUGUAGCGGUGGAAUGCGCAGAUAUCAGGAGGAACACCGAUGGCGAAGGCAGAUCUCUGGGCCGCUACUGACGCUGAGGAGCGAAAGCAUGGGGAGCGAACAGGAUUAGAUACCCUGGUAGUCCAUGCCGUAAACGUUGGGAACUAGAUGUAGGGGCCUUUCCACGGCUUCUGUGUCGACGCUAACGCAUUAAGUUCCCCGCCUGGGGAGUACGGCCGCAAGGCUAAAACUCAAAGGAAUUGACGGGGGCCCGCACAAGCGGCGGAGCAUGCGGAUUAAUUCGAUGCAACGCGAAGAACCUUACCAAGGCUUGACAUAUACGAGAACACUGUAGAGAUACAGGACUCUUUGGACACUCGUAUACAGGUGGUGCAUGGUCGUCGUCAGCUCGUGUCGUGAGAUGUUCGGUUAAGUCCGGCAACGAGCGCAACCCUCGUCCUAUGUUGCCAGCACGUUAUGAUGGGAACUCAUGGGAUACUGCCGUGGUCAACACGGAGGAAGGUGGGGAUGACGUCAAAUCAUCAUGCCCCUUAUGUCUUGGGCUUCACGCAUGCUACAAUGGCCGGCACAAUGGGCAGCGAUACCGUGAGGUGGAGCGAAUCCAAAAAACCGGUCUCAGUUCGGAUUGGGGUCUGCAACUCGACCCCAUGAAGUCGGAGUCGCUAGUAAUCGCAGAUCA